GCAAGUGUCAAACUCUGACUAAGACAGCAGAGGGGAAAAUAGGUCCAGACUGACUUCCCAUGAGAAGCCCUGUUCUAAUCUAAACCAAAGGCUAGGCGCUGGCGCUUUCUGUGAUCCGGCGGUUGCUUGUAGUUGAGCGGGAUUAAGGCCCAUCCUUGUCAUCCCAUAGGGCAGAGUGGUUUGACUGACAGCCGGGUUCAGCGUCUUGACACAGGAGGCUGCCUCACUGCAAGGCCUCUCAAUCUGGGACAAAGAUACGAUUCAGAAGAUCCUGACAACCCGGUACCAGAGAGGUUCUGGAGGGCAGCGACCCACACUCUGUCCCGCAGUGAAGGUGUCAGCAAACGGCUCAAGUGAUCCUUCCCUCCACUAAAAUAUAGGCGACGACAGAUGCUGACAUCUUUGGAGAUGAUUGAUUCACCCCGUCUGGCCAGAGAGGAGUGGAGAGGAGAGCGGAGCUGGAUCCUCCCCGGGGCUGCAGCUUCCUGCCGCCCUGCCAUGGCACCACCAGUGUCACUUCAACCAGCGAUGGAGCCCGCCACCCCCACCCACCCACCCCACCUCCAUCACCUCCCAGUUCCCCGUCUCUUGUCUCCAGCAAGCUGCCGCAAUCAGCACAGGCCCUGAUUGGACUUGGGCAGGUUGAUCAGCAGCUUAACAGAUCAUGGAGAGUGAAAAUCCAGACGGAUGUCGGGCCAUGUCUCCAGCUUAACAGAUCAUGGAGAGUGAAAAUCCAGACGGAUGUCGGGCCAUGUCUCCAGGACAGAUUGGGAAGCCGUGAUGGCGGCACAGAAGUUGAGGGAGAAGCUAUUUAUCCCAGACGGAUCAGGAGGUGUGUGACGGAGGUGUGGACGGUUGCUGCAGGUCAGUGACGUUGGCAGGCGCCAGGCAGGCCGGCCCACAUGGCUCGGGGACUGUGGGACUACAGACAGAUGGCACCUGCUGACUCAUCAGACACGAGUAACAUCUCGUCAAAACUUGUGCGCUCUCCCUGACCUUGGCCAACAGUGGUGUGCUGAAAACAGCCCGGGUGUGAGGGGAGCGCUUGAAAACGAGCGGAACAGCAGAACGCGCUGAGGAAUGGAGCAGUGCAGGUGCGGAGCAGCAGAGGAGGGGAUGCUGUGGAGCAGGAGGAGGACUUGGCAGCGAGGCGCUGGAAGGUAAAGCCAGAGCAGAGCGGCCCGAUCGGCCUGCAGCCAGCACACGUGUGAUAGCAGAACCUUGUGUUCUAUACAGAGCAGGUGCAAAGGCCUUGUCUCCUCUCUUUUCAUCCACCCCUCCCGCUCAGCGGUGGAGCUUGGCUCUCCGUUUCCUGUUUCUCUGAGGUUCAGCCUUUUGUCCUCCAGGUGAUACACUCCUCCCCGUCUCUCUGUCCAUCUCUCCACCACCCCCUACCACCUCCACCUCCUCCUCCUCCUCCUGCUCUCUCUGCCCGUAUCAUACUUCAUUUGCUCCAGAUAACACAUCAGCUUCAACGCCCAUCCACAAACUCUGUCACCAGGAUGCCCACAGAUGGCAACUUCCUGUGGUCCUGCCCAGUGAUUGGUGGAGCGACUUCCAAACAGAGAACAGCUGAUUGUGUUAGGUCUCCUUGUUAGUCGAGAAGGAGAGCUCCACACUUUCAACACCAGAGGGAGCCAUUUCACAGCCAGAAGAGCCACAAGUCUUCUUCAUGCUGUAGCAACACCUGUCAUGAAAUGCUACAUGGACACUGGAACUUUCACCAGAAGGGAAGGAAGGUAAGCAGUAAUAAAUGAGUUUCUUUAAAACAUUAGAAUGGCUACGAAUGGAUGUGACAGACAAACAUACUGGAACUAUUUGUUUAUAAUGAAAUGGUUUCACAUUUUUCCUUUACCAACUUAACUAGGGUUGUCAAAAAACGAAAAAAGUGACAUUCCCUACAAAAAUGAAGAAAAAUGGUGAAAUACAGUUUAAACUUUAAAGCUUUAUAACUAGAAGACGUAACAGAGAAGGAAAUGUCUAGUUUCUGAAUGAUUCCCUGAUUAAAUAAAAACCAUAGGUAACACCGCAGAUAAGGACACCCAUCAACUUUUAACUCAUUGCUUAUUAGCAUGCACAUUCGUGGUUUAUUUGCUCUUUAUUUGUGAUUAUAAAACAGUUAUUAAUGCCUUAUUCUCCAUGACUGUAUACUGCAAAUAGUAGUUAACUGACUCUAUCACUGCUUAUUGAUAGCCAUUAAAGAAGCAGUUGUACAUGUCAUGAAUUAUAAGGUGAUCAAACCACACGAACAGUUAAUUAAUAAAACUUAAGUUAUUGUCUAUUCUUAUGUAACAAAACAAAACUGUUAAUUAAACUAAGUAAUAAUACUGUCCAAAUAGAUAAAUGACCCACUGCAUUGCUAAAGGGUAAGUCCUCCAAUUUCACACAUUUAAGUGUUUAGAGGUCUUGAGCAGAACAACCAUACAUGUCACUUAGUAGCUGAUUUGCAUUCUGGGUAAUGUUAGCACCAGGGGAAUGACAAGUGAUCAAAAUCAAUUCAGCAGAACCAGAGAAAUCGCCCCUUUUUAUUACACGCACGUUUCCUCCUUUAAAAAUCUAGUGCCUACAUUACCCACAAUGCAACAUAGUCACUGAGCGAGUCUCUGGAGCCACAACAAGCUUUCCACCAUUUACUUUCACAUACAGUAGUACUCCUCAAGACCUGUGAAAACACUUUGCGUAAAAUUGGUGGAGCUACCCUUUAAAAGAUGUAAAAAGGUAGGCAUACAUAAUCCAGAGUUUCCUUAAUUGUACAAUUUCCUUUCAUUACUGUAAAAAGAAAUUAUUAUGAUCUUAUGUGAAAAUAAAAAAUAAAAUACUUUUUUUUUUAACAAAUUUACCCUCAACUUUGGUCCCUGGUGCUCACAUUGGUCAGCACUGCUUUUACUUAUAUUCUUCCUAACUCUAUUUUCCCCAUGUUAAAGUGAAAGUAGAAGCUGUGUAGAUUAAUAAGUGUCAGUGUCUACUAGUAGUCAUAGUUUAAGAAUCUGGUCAUGCAGAAUGAGGCAAUAAUAAGCGCUCUAUAGUGGCUAAUGAAGAGCCAAUGUGCUACUUAUAUACAUGCUAUUAGGCACCAUGUGUUCGCUGAUCUAAAGUGUUACCAGACCAUGAUAUGCUCAUGUAUGCUGACAUUCAGCAACUUCCACUAUAUGAACCUAACCAAGACACACAACUGAUUAUGACCAAUCGAUAGCCUUUUAAGAACGGUAAUGUACAAACUUGCAUAGAUAAAGUGAUAUAAUAGAGAGCAGCUUCGUAAUUAUGUGCCCCAAAAAAUUGUGACAUUCUUUUUAUAUUUGUACUAUAAGCUUUUUUUUUUUCUGACGUCCCUGCGAGGAAUAGCUGCUUGUCGUUGGAGGUC
Acanthopagrus latus (yellowfin seabream) is the source of this 3361-nucleotide long non-coding RNA. RefSeq lists it as uncharacterized. The record is from RefSeq and is a predicted model, not a curated record. Lineage: Eukaryota; Metazoa; Chordata; Actinopteri; Spariformes; Sparidae. The transcript has 15 exons.